This 1227-nucleotide long non-coding RNA is filed under the name Callithrix jacchus (white-tufted-ear marmoset). RNAcentral's name for it is "lncRNA (ENSCJAG00000085329.1)". Lineage: Eukaryota; Metazoa; Chordata; Mammalia; Primates; Cebidae. The record is from RNAcentral.
AAAUCUGAAAGAUUUUGCCUUUUGCUCAAGGUCACACAGCUCAAGUUCACUGUGCAGCUGGAACUAGAGGGUCUGAAUAUACGGAACCCCCCAGCUCCAUCUCAGAAUAAAAGGAAUGAAAACCUGGGGAAAGGAGCCAAGAAGGAAAGCCACAAAUAUGCAUCUGGCCGAGGCAGAGGGAGCAGCUCCAAGAGUCUGCAGAGAUGCACCGUGACUGCUGUUUGCAGAGGUUCAGCUGCCAGAGGCUCGAAUGCACUCCUGGGUCCUGCCCCUGAGAAAUCAGAGCAGGCAACAGAGAAGACACAUGUUCCCUACCAAUUUUUUCUCUGCGCCAAGUCCUUCAAGUUUCUGCAGACAAUGGGGAAGGACAAGAACUAUGGAAUCAGACAAGAGGUGGCUGGAAUUCCAGCUCCCCAACCCAUUAGAUGGGGCCUUGAGCAAGUGACUCAACCUCUCUGAGCCUCAGUCUCUUUGCCUCUUACGUGAGAGGAACGAUAGGACCGUUAUGAGGACCUAUAUAAUGUGUAUUAUAUGAAGCACUUAGCACAGUUCUUGUACCUAGGGCUACAUUAUAACUUUUGUGGGUUUUAGGCAUGUUAGCCUUUUCUGCCAUGAGCCCUUCAGCAAAAACAAAAACAUUAAAAAAUUAAAAAAUAUUUGAUGGCUGCAUUUGUAUAAAAGUGAACACACUAAUAUCGUGUAGUAAAGCUUUUUUUUUUGAGAUGGAGUCUUGCUCUGUGGCCCAGGCUGGAGUGCAGUGGUGUGAUCUCGGCUCACUGCAACCUCUGCCUCCUAGGUUCAAGUGAUUCUCCUGCCUCAGCCUCCUGAGUAGCUGAGAUUACAGGCACCCGCCUCCAUGGCUAGUUAAUUUUUGUAUUUUUUAGUAGAGACGGGGUUUUACCAUGUUGGCUAGGCUGCUCUUGAACUCCCGACCUCAACUGAUCUGCCCGCCUCAGCCUCUCAAAGUGCUGGGAUUACAGGUGUGAGCCACUGCGCCCGGCCAGUACUAAAGCAUUUCUUUUUUAAUCUAAAAAUGUUAUAUAUUGUUUGUUUUGUUUCUACAAAGAAAUUUAAACAUUUCCAUGGGCCCCUAAAAGCACUGGACCUCAGCACUGUGCCUAAUGGACGUUAGCCCUGCUUGUCUCCCAGCUCAAGAUCUGCUUUUAGGGUAGCCCAAACUAAGACGUACAGGCAUGUCUAUGAUGUGUGAGGAGCCACAGCAAAGAG